AUAAAAAAUGAGGGUACUCCAUUAAGAAUUUUCAUGUUUUUGAAUGAAUAUGCGAAUAUUGAUAUGUUCUUCCCCUGCAUGAACCGCCAUUCAACAUUUAAUUUACAUCACACAAAAGGAUAAACAUAGAAUUAUCAUGGAAUAAGUAUAUCAACAUACAUGGACUACAAUAAAGCAUAAAAUUAGUAACAUACGAUCUAAAAAUAAAAUGAUAGACGACGUUGUUGUUCUUCUUGGUCACGUUGGUGUCAUUGAUUGAAUUCGUUUGACAAUUCAUUGAUUCGAUCUAAAAACGAAUCAUCGAUAUUAGCGGGCGUCUGACUAUUCUCAAAUCCCUGAGUGUUAAUAUUUUGUUGUGUUCCCAAUCCAAAAUCCCCAAAGCUUGUCCAUCCUUCAUGCUCACCUGCACUGUCGUGCUCAUCCCUACACUGUUGCUGUUGGGACUCGAUAUGUGAAUAAUAUGGCUGGGAUAGGGUGGCCUCAGAAUCAUCAUCUCUCUCAUUUUCUCUUAGACCCUCUUCCCACUCUCCCUCAUUAGGUGCAAUAUCACCGACAUAUUGUGGAUACAUUGGUUGGCUGCUUCCUCUUUCAUGCCGCUCAUCACUUUCUUCAAUAUCUUCAUCACCGAUAGCCUCAAGGAACGCUCUCUUGUGCAACACUGGCUCCUCCUCUUCUACUACCCAUCGGUCUGCUGUGUCUGUGACNNN
RNAcentral lists this long non-coding RNA (707 nucleotides) under Amborella trichopoda. RNAcentral's name for it is "long non-coding RNA (ATRI_LNC005500)". The record is from RNAcentral. Lineage: Eukaryota; Viridiplantae; Streptophyta; Magnoliopsida; Amborellales; Amborellaceae.